GUUUUUUUGAUUAUACUUGCUUUUGAUGUUUUCCUUUCUUUUUACAUCACAAGAUGGUUUCCAGUAAUGCAGCGGAUUUAUUUCCACUAUUGCAGCUUAUUUUCUCUGGAUAUAUCUAUUCUGUCCCUCUGCUUUAGAGACUUUACAGGUGGAGACCUACAACCUUCGAUCUCCUGUUAUCCUGCAGCAAGAGUUCCUGUUAUGGACUUGUAUAUUUCGUCUCCUCGUUCCCCUCUGCUCGGACGCCACUACCUCGUGACUGCUUUUCGUCUGCUGGUCUGUCAGCCCCCUAAGACCCCGCCUCCUGGUGUGUGCCCGCGUCACGUCAUCACGUCCAUCCAAUAUGUUGAUAUAUUUUAAUGUUAAAUGAGUGUCCCCAGCACCCCUCUGUGCUGUUUUGGCUAAUGAGGAAGUAUUAGCCUGAGCAGCAAAAGGCAGCUGUAAUUGGUUGAGUGUGUCAGCUGACUGCUUUUAGCCUAUCAGAGCUCCAACUGACGGUAUGAAUGGUAUGACUACAAGGAAGUGUGUAAUAGCUGCCCUAGCCACUCCUCCACAAGGGCUAAUCUCUGCCCUAGCCACAUCUCCACAAGGGCCAGACUGUGGGUGGUUAGAGACCCUUAUUUGGUGUUAAACUGCUCUAAAAUGCUUAAAACCAAUUCAAAGAGAUACCAUGGUUAUAGUGCCUACAGUGUUCCUUUACGUUUGUUUUUACAUCACUUCUCUCCCAUUUCAGCCUGCUUUUUCGCAAAGCACUGCUGUUAUAAAGACAUACCUAGCUUGUAAUGUAUUUUGAGUUAAGCAAUUACAAUUGGAUUACAUGCUGGUAAAUAGGUUCUCAUUUUAAUGCCCUUUGGCAUUAUCAUAAUAUGUGAAAACUCGUGGUUGGAAUCCUAAAAAUGUUUAUUUUUGUUCUAUUGGCUUUCUUCCUCUUGUUGUGCCGUAAGGAGUUAUUCACAAAAUUUAGGCUUGCCCAUUCAUUUUUCUUAGCUUUAUCUUGUUGCAUUCACUAAACGUCAAUCAAGUCUAACUUUAAAUAAAUGCAAAAUAUUGACAGUUUCCUUCAUUGUUAACAGUUAAAACACAGUCAAGCAAGUUUUUCCUGAAUGUAAGUCCUGUCUUUUAAGAAAGAAAUCUUAUUUUUACAGAGCUAUUGUAUGUAUAUCCAACAACACUGAUUUAAUGAUGUUUACUUGUUAUGGCUUUAAAGCAGUGUGUUGUGUAAACUGUAAUCUAUAUUUAUACAAUUGCUUUACUAGUAAAACAGAAUGUUUCUCCUUCUAGCCCAAUUAACCUGGAGCCAAGUACAAAGGUAAUUUGGAUAUCGUAAUACAUAAUUGAGAAUUUUCAGAAGAAAAUUACAGUGGACCACUAAACAGUCGCUUCAGGUGUUGAUAAAUCAUCAGUAUGAGACUUGAUACACGUUCAGUGUCAUGCUGGGUUUUACCUUGGUUAUUCUCCCCUCCACCCCCCUUCAUGCAGGUAUUUGGGUACUUUGUUACUUUUUUUUGUUUACUUUUGUGUAUAUUUCUUUUUAAAUUUUUGAGCACUCACUACUAGAUCAAUUUCUCUGUAUUAAGGUCACCGAGCCUUCUCGC
Molecule: non-coding RNA, 1595 nt
Organism: Pelobates cultripes (western spadefoot toad)
Lineage: Eukaryota; Metazoa; Chordata; Amphibia; Anura; Pelobatidae
Source: the annotation of a GenBank genome assembly